GCCUCGGUAGCUCAGUUGGUAGAGCGAUGGAUUGAAAAUCCAUGCGUCGGUGGUUCGACUCCGCCUCGAGGCACCA
This 76-nucleotide transfer RNA is filed under the name Acidobacteria bacterium Mor1. Its description in RNAcentral is "tRNA-Phe". It matches the Rfam family "tRNA". Rfam says of the family: Transfer RNA (tRNA) molecules are approximately 80 nucleotides in length. Their secondary structure includes four short double-helical elements and three loops (D, anti-codon, and T loops). Lineage: Bacteria; Pseudomonadati; Acidobacteriota. The record is from RNAcentral.